AGAGUUUGAUCCUGGCUCAGGACGAACGUUGGCGGCAUGGAUUAGGCAUGCAAGUCGAGCGAGAAGGUUCUUUUGCUUGCAUUAGAACUGGAAAGCGGCGCAAGGGUGAGUAACGCGUAGUUACCUGCCUCGGGGUCCGGAAUAGCCACGGGAAACUGUGGGUAAUGCCGGAUAAUAUCCCCGGAUCAAAGGUGAGAUUCCGCCCUGAGAGGGGACUGCGUCCUACUAGCUUGUUGGUGGGGUAACGGCCUACCAAGGCUACGAUGGGUAGCGGGCGUGAGAGCGUGGCCCGUCACACUGGGACUGAGACACUGCCCAGACACCUACGGGUGGCUGCAGUCGAGAAUCUUCGGCAAUGGGCGAAAGCCUGACCGAGCAAUGCCGCGUGCGGGAUGAAGACCCUCGGGUUGUAAACCGUGAAAGUGAGGAGGAAGGCCCCGUGAAGAGCGGGGUUUGACCGAUCCACAGUAAGGACGGGCUAAGUUCGUGCCAGCAGCCGCGGUAAU
Molecule: ribosomal RNA, 506 nt
Filed under: uncultured Planctomycetota bacterium
Lineage: Bacteria; Pseudomonadati; Planctomycetota
Description: bacterial SSU rRNA
Rfam family: Bacterial small subunit ribosomal RNA
Source: RNAcentral